Molecule: ribosomal RNA, 402 nt
Filed under: uncultured bacterium
Lineage: Bacteria
Description: bacterial SSU rRNA
Rfam family: Bacterial small subunit ribosomal RNA
Source: RNAcentral
GGGGAAUAUUGCACAAUGGGCGAAAGCCUGAUGCAGCAACGCCGCGUGAGUGAUGACGGUCUUCGGAUUGUAAAGCUCUGUCUUUGGGGACGAUAAUGACGGUACCCAAGGAGGAAGCCACGGCUAACUACGUGCCAGCAGCCGCGGUAAUACGUAGGUGGCAAGCGUUGUCCGGAUUUACUGGGCGUAAAGGGUGCGUAGGCGGACCUUUAAGUGAGAUGUGAAAUCCCCGAGCUUAACUUGGGGGCUGCAUUUCAAACGGGAGGUCUAGAGUGCAGGAGAGGAGAGUGGAAUUCCUAGUGUAGCGGUGAAAUGCGUAGAGAUUAGGAAGAACACCAGUGGCGAAGGCGACUCUCUGGACUGUAACUGACGCUGAGGCACGAAAGCGUGGGGAGCAAACAG